ACACGGCACCCAGACACAGCACCCCCCAGACACACACUGCACCCAGACACAGCACCCCCAGACACACACUGCACCCAGACACACAUAGCACCCCCCAGACACACACAGCACCCAGACACAGCACCAGACACACACAGACCCAGACACACACAGCGCACCCAGACACACACAGCGCCACCCAGACAGACACAGCGCCCCCCAAACACACAGCACCCAGACACACACAGCACCCUCACUCACACACAGCAC
Pelobates cultripes (western spadefoot toad) is the source of this 249-nucleotide non-coding RNA. Lineage: Eukaryota; Metazoa; Chordata; Amphibia; Anura; Pelobatidae. The record is from the annotation of a GenBank genome assembly.